This 432-nucleotide ribosomal RNA is filed under the name uncultured bacterium. Its description in RNAcentral is "partial 16S ribosomal RNA". It matches the Rfam family "Bacterial small subunit ribosomal RNA", at positions 29 to 507 of the family's 1533-position model. The record is from RNAcentral.
AACGAACGCUGGCGGCAUGCCUAACACAUGCAAGUCGAACGAGACCUUCGGGUCUAGUGGCGCACGGGUGCGUAACGCGUGGGAACCUGCCCUUAGGUUCGGAAUAACUCCCCGAAAGGGGUGCUAAUACCGGAUAAUGUCUUCGGACCAAAGAUUUAUCGCCUUUGGAUGGGCCCGCGUUGGAUUAGCUAGUUGGUAGGGUAAAAGCCUACCAAGGCGACGAUCCCUAGCUGGUCUGAGAGGAUGGUCAGCCACCCUGGGACUGAGACACGGCCCGAACCCUACGGGAGGGGAGAAGGGGUGAAGGUGGAACACCGGGGGAAUGCUGAAGGCAGCAGGGCCGGGAAAGUCUGGAAGGCGUGAGGAUUAAAAGUCUUAUUAACCCGGGAUGUAAUGAAGGGACCCGGGAAAAAAACCCCGGCUAACUCCGGG